This 97-nucleotide non-coding RNA is filed under the name bovine gut metagenome. RNAcentral describes it as "THF riboswitch". It matches the Rfam family "THF (Tetrahydrofolate) riboswitch aptamer". Rfam says of the family: THF riboswitch presents a pseudoknot that joins P1-P2 and the loop of P3 and two THF binding. RNAcentral also lists the same sequence under 1 other name. The record is from RNAcentral.
GCAGAGUAGGACAGUGCGCGUUAAGUGCCGGGUGAACAGGGAGUUGUCAUCUGGACGAAAAGAAAUAUCUUGCGGUGCAUUGUCCGCAUCCCGCUGC